RNAcentral lists this ribosomal RNA (857 nucleotides) under uncultured bacterium. RNAcentral describes it as "SSU rRNA". It matches the Rfam family "Bacterial small subunit ribosomal RNA", at positions 524 to 1381 of the family's 1533-position model. The record is from RNAcentral.
UACGGGAGUGGUAAGCGUUAUCCGGAAUUAUUGGGCGUAAAGCGUCCGCAGGCGGUCUUGUAAGUCUGUUGUUAAAGCGUGGAGCUUAACUCCAUUUCAGCAAUGGAAACUGUAAGACUAGAGUGUGGUAGGGGCAGAGGGAAUUCCCGGUGUAGCGGUGAAAUGCGUAGAUAUCGGGAAGAACACCAGUGGCGAAGGCGCUCUGCUGGGCCAUAACUGACGCUCAUGGACGAAAGCCAGGGGAGCGAAAGGGAUUAGAUACCCCUGUAGUCCUGGCCGUAAACGAUGAACACUAGGUGUCGGGGGAAUCGACCCCCUCGGUGUCGUAGCCAACGCGUUAAGUGUUCCGCCUGGGGAGUACGCACGCAAGUGUGAAACUCAAAGGAAUUGACGGGGGCCCGCACAAGCGGUGGAGUAUGUGGUUUAAUUCGAUGCAACGCGAAGAACCUUACCAGGGUUUGACAUCCUGCGAAUCUUUUGGAAACAGAAGAGUGCCUUCGGGAACGCAGUGACAGGUGGUGCAUGGCUGUCGUCAGCUCGUGUCGUGAGAUGUUGGGUUAAGUCCCGCAACGAGCGCAACCCACGUCGUUAGUUGCCAGCAUUUAGUUGGGCACUCUAGCGAGACCGCCGGUGAUAAACCGGAGGAAGGUGUGGAUGACGUCAAGUCAUCAUGCCCCUUACAUCCUGGGCUACACACGUACUACAAUGCUACGGACAAAGGGCAGCAAACUCGCGAGAGCUAGCAAAUCCCAUAAACCGUGGCUCAGUUCAGAUCGUAGGCUGCAACUCGCCUACGUGAAGGAGGAAUCGCUAGUAAUCGCAGGUCAGCAUACUGCGGUGAAUACGUUCCCGGGCCU